RNAcentral lists this small RNA (574 nucleotides) under Pan troglodytes (chimpanzee). RNAcentral's name for it is "retained intron". The record is from RNAcentral. Lineage: Eukaryota; Metazoa; Chordata; Mammalia; Primates; Hominidae.
CUUGUUUAUAUAGCAAACAGUUUUAUAAAGAUUUCACAUUUAUUUCUUUUUCCAAACUGCUAUUUUGACUAACUGUAAUAGAAAGUCAUUUGCCUUACAGCCAUCAAAUGAAAAGCCGAAAUGCCCAGAACUACCACCAUUUCCAUCAUGUUUGUCUACGGUCCACUUCAUUAUAUUUGUUGUGGUGCAAACUGUAUUAUUCAUUGGUUAUAUCAUGUAUAGGUCUCAGCAAGAAGCAGCUGCCAAAAAAUUCUUUUGACUACCAUUUUCCUGUGUACUUCAUCUAUUUGUGUACAAAAUGAUGUCGUUUUGAGGGAAUUUAAGUAUUUAAAUUGCUUCAUAGUCUAAAUUAUUAAUUUUUUUAAUAAAAUAACUUUAAACAUUGAUUUGCAGUUAAGAAUAAACCUUAAAGCAAAGACAACCACAUUUUAAUUUGUUCACAGUAUGUAAAUCUGUCUAAAUUUCAGUGAAUUUCUGGUCAGUAUGAUGCAGCCUCUGAGCAGAAUAUUGACCAGUAAGAGGAUAAAUAAAGUGGGGGCAACCCCUGGAUAUGAAUGUUACCCCCUAAGUCUCC